UGAGGAAUAUUGGUCAAUGGACGGAAGUCUGAACCAGCCAUGCCGCGUGCAGGAAUAAGGUCCUAUGGAUUGUAAACUGCUUUUAUUUGGGAAUAAACCUCCUUACGUGUAGGGAGCUGAAGGUACCAAAGGAAUAAGCACCGGCUAACUCCGUGCCAGCAGCCGCGGUAAUACGGAGGGUGCAAGCGUUAUCCGGAAUCAUUGGGUUUAAAGGGUCCGCAGGCGGGCUAAUAAGUCAGAGGUGAAAUCCCACAGCUUAACUGUGGAACUGCCUUUGAAACUGUUAGUCUUGAAUUAAGAUGGCGUUGGCGGAAUAGGUCAUGUAGCGGUGAAAUGCAUAGAUAUGAACUAGAACACCAAUUGCGAAGGCAGGUUACCAUGUCUUAACUGACGCUGAUGGACGAAAGCGUGGGGAGCGAACA
RNAcentral lists this ribosomal RNA (422 nucleotides) under uncultured bacterium. RNAcentral describes it as "bacterial SSU rRNA". It matches the Rfam family "Bacterial small subunit ribosomal RNA", at positions 355 to 774 of the family's 1533-position model. The record is from RNAcentral.